CCUUCGGGUCGUAAACCUCUGUCACCGGGGAAGAAACGCUGCAUUUUAACAGAAUGCAGCCUGACUCAACCCGGAGAGGAAGCAGUGGCUAACUCUGUGCCAGCAGCCGCGGUAAUACAGAGACUGCAAGCGUUAUUUCGGAUUCACUGGGCGUAAAGGGUGCGCAGGCGGCCAAGUGUGUGAGGCGUGAAAGCCCGGGGCUUAACCCCGGAAUUGCACCUCAAACUACAUGGCUAGAGCAUUGGAGAGGGUAGCAGAAUUCAUGGUGUAGCAGUGAAAUGCGUAGAUAUCAUGAGGAAUACCAGAGGCGAAGGCGGCUACCUGGACAAUUGCUGACGCUCAGGCACGAAAGCGUGGGGAGCAAAAGGGAUUAGAUACCCCUGUAGUCCACGCCCUAAACGGUGCACACUAGGUCUUGGCGGAUUCGACCCCGCCAGGGCCCAAGCUAACGCGUUAAGUGUGCCGCCUGAGGACUACGGCCGCAAGGCUA
This 490-nucleotide ribosomal RNA is filed under the name uncultured Verrucomicrobiota bacterium. RNAcentral describes it as "bacterial SSU rRNA". It matches the Rfam family "Bacterial small subunit ribosomal RNA", at positions 415 to 896 of the family's 1533-position model. The record is from RNAcentral. Lineage: Bacteria; Pseudomonadati; Verrucomicrobiota.